Molecule: ribosomal RNA, 543 nt
Filed under: Phenacoccus miruku
Lineage: Eukaryota; Metazoa; Arthropoda; Insecta; Hemiptera; Pseudococcidae
Description: SSU rRNA
Rfam family: Eukaryotic small subunit ribosomal RNA
Source: RNAcentral
AAGCCAUGCAUGUCUCAGUGCAAGCCGUCCAGUACGGUGAAACCGCGAAAGGCUCAUUAAAUCAGUUAUGGUUCCUUAGAUCGUACCCACGUUACUUGGAUAACUGUGGUAAUUCUAGAGCUAAUACAUGCCGACAGAGUUCCGACCAACUGCGCAGAUCGCGGUUCGGAAGGAACGCUUUUAUUAGAUCAAAACCGGCCAGACGGUGGUUUCUCUCCAUCGUAUGCGGCCCGCGCAAAGACUUGGUGACUCUGAAUAACUUCGAGCUGAUCGCACGGUCUAGUACCGGCGACGUAUCUUUCAAAUGUCUGCCUUAUCAACUGUCGACGGUAGGUUCGACGCCUACCGUGGUGGUAACGGGUAACGGGGAAUCAGGGUUCGAUUCCGGAGAGGGAGCCUGAGAAACGGCUACCACAUCCAAGGAAGGCAGCAGGCGCGCAAAUUACCCACUCCCAGCUCGGGGAGGUAGUGACGAAAAAUAACGAUACGGGACUCAUUCGAGGCCCCGUAAUCGGAAUGAGUACACUUUAAAACCUUGGUCAC